GAUGAAGAACGCAGCGAAAUGCGAUACGUAAUGUGAAUUGCAGAAUUCAGUGAAUCAUCGAAUCUUUGAACGCACAUUGCGCCUGCCAGCACUCUGGCAGGCAUGCCUGUUCGAGCGUCAUUUCAACCAUCAAGCCCUAGGCUUGCGUUGGAGCCCUGCGGCAGCCGCAGGUCCCUAAAAGCAGUGGCGGGCUCGCUAUCACACCGAGUGCAGUAGAUUACUCUUCGCUCAGGGCGUGUGGCGGGUUCCAGCCGUGAAACCCCCUACUUCUCAAGGUUGACCUCGGAUCAGGUAGGAAUACCCGCUGAACUUAAGCAUAUCAAUAAGCGGAGGA
Molecule: unclassified non-coding RNA, 334 nt
Filed under: soil metagenome
Description: partial contains 5.8S ribosomal RNA, internal transcribed spacer 2, and large subunit ribosomal RNA
Rfam family: 5.8S ribosomal RNA (bases 1-120)
Source: RNAcentral